Molecule: non-coding RNA, 198 nt
Organism: Vicia faba (fava bean)
Lineage: Eukaryota; Viridiplantae; Streptophyta; Magnoliopsida; Fabales; Fabaceae
Source: the annotation of a GenBank genome assembly
AUGGAAAAUCUUUUGAAGAGUAUUGAAAGCAUCCAAAGGUAUCAUGCCUCACAGUUCGACUCGACAAAGGUCAGCUUGAAGGCUAUUGGGGAUGUUAUUUCUAUUAACACGGUCUUUUUGAAAGCUGGAACUCCAUCACCAACAAUAAGUCUAUCAACUCAAAUAUUCCAUCAAAGUGAUCAAACAUGUAUUGUAUAA